RNAcentral lists this ribosomal RNA (771 nucleotides) under Enterococcus faecium. RNAcentral describes it as "partial 23S ribosomal RNA". It matches the Rfam family "Bacterial large subunit ribosomal RNA", at positions 115 to 889 of the family's 2925-position model. Lineage: Bacteria; Bacillati; Bacillota; Bacilli; Lactobacillales; Enterococcaceae. The record is from RNAcentral.
CGAAUGGGGGAACCCAACAUCUUUAAUAGGAUGUUACGAUUGUGUGAAUACAUAGCACAUUCGAGGUAGACGCAGAGAACUGAAACAUCUAAGUACCUGCAGGAAGAGAAAGAAAAUUCGAUUCCCUGAGUAGCGGCGAGCGAAACGGGAAAAGCCCAAACCAGCAAGCUUGCUUGUUGGGGUUGUAGGACUCCAAUAUGGUAGUUCUUUCAGAUAGUCGAAUGACUUGGAAAAGUCAGUCAAAGAGGGUAAAAACCCCGUAGACGAAAUGUGGAAGACACCUAGGAGGAUCCUGAGUACGGCGGAACACGAGAAAUUCCGUCGGAAUCCGGGAGGACCAUCUCCCAAGGCUAAAUACUCCCUAGUGACCGAUAGUGAACCAGUACCGUGAGGGAAAGGUGAAAAGCACCCCGGAAGGGGAGUGAAAUAGAACCUGAAACCGUGUGCCUACAACAAGUCAAAGCCCGUUAAUGGGUGAUGGCGUGCCUUUUGUAGAAUGAACCGGCGAGUUACGAUUGCAUGCGAGGUUAAGUUGAAGAGACGGAGCCGCAGCGAAAGCGAGUCUGAAUAGGGCGUUUGAGUAUGUAGUCGUAGACCCGAAACCAUGUGAUCUACCCAUGUCCAGGUUGAAGGUGCGGUAAAACGCACUGGAGGACCGAACCCACGUACGUUGAAAAGUGCGGGGAUGAGGUGUGGGUAGCGGAGAAAUUCCAAACGAACUUGGAGAUAGCUGGUUCUCUCCGAAAUAGCUUUAGGGCUAGCCUCGGAAUU